This 1295-nucleotide long non-coding RNA is filed under the name Cyanoderma ruficeps (rufous-capped babbler). RNAcentral describes it as "lncRNA (ENSCRFG00000010260.1)". Lineage: Eukaryota; Metazoa; Chordata; Aves; Passeriformes; Timaliidae. The record is from RNAcentral.
CCGCAACCAAUCAGCGCGGCCGCCCCUCACGGUCCGGGCCGUCGUCACCGCGCGCUUGUUUUGGUCCGCAAAUGCCUUUUGGUGCCGCAGGGGGAGGGUUGGGGGGCGGUGGCUGUGAGGGCUGCCGUGUGCCGCGCUUGCUGGGAGAGCAAAAGGCGAAACGUGGCUGUUUUCUUGUGUUUCUAACACUUCUGUCUGUGAUGGUGGCAAUAUUUUUCUUCCCAGGUCUAGCUCCUGUAGCCUGGUCUCCAAACCUGCAACAUGUUUACGCUUUCCUUUUUAUCCUGGUGGUAAUGCACACAGAAUGAAAAUGUGAAGUAAAGUCUAGAACACUUAAAAUGCUGUAUGGAGUAAAGUUUGUGCAAGUGAGAAGCUGAGCUGGAGAUUGGAUCCUGCUGAAAGCAAGACAAGAAUCGAUCUGUAACUUCAUUCAAUAUUGCUAUUGGACAAAAGCAUUUCUCUUGCUAUUUAAAUUAAAAAAAUCACAGGACUCAACAGAGUUUUCUAGCAGUAAUAUUUUAAGGAUUUAAUUCUACUGAGUAAUAAAAGGAAAGAAGGAUUUUACACAGACCAAAGCACCAACCAGGGAUUUGUAAAUGCAGUGGUGCUUUGGUGCCUGACAGUGCCACUGAUUUUCAACUGAUCUUUAUAAAAUAACUUAUUUAAACCUGUAUUUCAAUGUGGAAAUAAAAGUGAAAUUAAUAAGGAACAAAAAGUGUAUGUGACAAUAAUAUUGUGCUGUAGACCAGAUGGUUAGAAAAGCAAGCAUCAGGAGGAAGUUGCUGAAUUGGAUGUGUAAUUUCUUAUAUCUGCUUGAGCUUGUUUAUGCACUGAUUCCAUGAACUAUUGAGUACCUGGUGAAUACAUAUGUCAGAGUAUGUUUGGGUAAUUGGAGCAUGUAUCUGUUAAAGAUACAAACUUUGAAUUUAGACAUUUAACAGUUUCAACAUAUGAGGGAACUGGAAAGUCCCAAUAAAAUGUAAUAUGAAAUGAAGUGCAUUCAUGUAUCCAUUCACGCCCUGUUUUAGAUGGAAACAAAGGAACUACAGCCAGAAUUAUUCACUGACUUUGAAUGCCUUUGACCUGGUAUUUCAUAGUAUAUUCAUAACAUUAGAAUGCCUAUAGUUCUCUAGAAUUAACUUCCAAGAAUACUAAAAGAGGAAAGAAGAACAAGUUAUCUCAGUCAGUUUGGUUUAGAUGAAGAGCAGGUACCCUAAAGCUCAACUUCUGACUGUAGAUAGCUGCAAUUCCUUUAUGAUCUGAAGUCUAUGAAAUGUUAAACUACAACAAUGAGA